Molecule: ribosomal RNA, 498 nt
Filed under: uncultured bacterium
Lineage: Bacteria
Description: partial 16S ribosomal RNA
Rfam family: Bacterial small subunit ribosomal RNA
Source: RNAcentral
GACGAACGCUGGCGGCGUGCCUAAUACAUGCAAGUCGUGCGGACCUUUUAAAAGCUUGCUUUUAAAAGGUUAGCGGCGGACGGGUGAGUAACACGUGGGCAACCUGCCUGUAAGACUGGGAUAACGCCGGGAAACCGGGGCUAAUACCGGAUCGUUUUUCCUCCGCAUGGAGGAAAAAGGAAAGGCGGCUUCGGCUGCCACUUACAGAUGGGCCCGCGGCGCAUUAGCUAGUUGGCGGGGUAACGGCCCACCAAGGCAACGAUGCGUAGCCGACCUGAGAGGGGGAUCGGCCAAAUUGGGACUGGGAAACGGCCCAAACUCCUACGGGGGGCAGCAGGAGGGAAUCUUCCGCAAUGGACGAAAGUCUGACGGAGCAACGCCGCGUGAGUGAAGAAGGCCUUCGGGUCGUAAAACUCUGUUGCCGGGGAAGAACAAGUGCCGUUCGAACAGGGCGGCGCCUUGACGGUACCCGGCCAGAAAGCCACGGCUAACUACGUG